AUCGCUUCUCGGCCUUUUGGCUAAGAUCAAGUGUAGUAUCUGUUCUUAUUUUUUAUUUCAGUAACUGUGUAUUGCAAUAUCUUAAAACUGUGCAACUCCAA
Small nuclear RNA from Anolis carolinensis (green anole), 101 nucleotides. Its record names the gene U2. It matches the Rfam family "U2 spliceosomal RNA". From Rfam's summary of the family: U2 is a small nuclear RNA (snRNA) component of the spliceosome (involved in pre-mRNA splicing). NCBI's taxonomy places the organism in Eukaryota, Metazoa, Chordata, Lepidosauria, Squamata, Anolidae. The record is from Ensembl.